This 489-nucleotide ribosomal RNA is filed under the name uncultured bacterium. RNAcentral's name for it is "bacterial SSU rRNA". It matches the Rfam family "Bacterial small subunit ribosomal RNA", at positions 28 to 516 of the family's 1533-position model. The record is from RNAcentral.
GACGAACGCUGGCGGCGUGCUUAAUACAUGCAAGUCAACUUGACUUUAGAUAGCAAUAUCGAAAAGUAGGGUGGCGCACGGGUGCGUAACGCGUAGGUAAUCUGCCCUGAGGUCUGACAUAACCCGUCGAAAGGCGGGCUAACAUCAGAUGAUAUAUAAUCACGACAUCGUGGGAAAUAUCAAAUCUUCGGAGCCUUGGGAUGAGCCUGCGUCUGAUUAGGUAGUUGGCGGAGUAAUAGCCCACCAAGCCUACGAUCAGUAGCUGGUCUGAGAGGAUGAUCAGCCACACUGGAACUGAGACACGGUCCAGACUCCUACGGGAGCAGCAGUAAGGAAUAUUGCUCAAUGGGGGAAACCCUGAAGCAGCAACGCCGCGUGAAGGAUGAAAUACUUUUGUAUGUAAACUUCUGUAAGAUGGGAAAAAUAUUCUCCUCGGGAGAAUUGAUUGUACCAUCAGAGUAAGCCCCGGCUAACUACGUGCCAGCAGCC